CCGUGCUAGAUGGGGAGGUAGCGGAGCCCUGUACCUGCAAUCCGCUAUAGCAGGAUUGAAUUCCCGUUCUAGGCAUGUUGAUGUAAGGCCUGCCCCUUGUAAGUAACGAUGAAGACUUGGUCCUGCGCAAUGGGAACCUGCGAACCCCGUCAGGUUCGGAAGAAAGCAGCGGUAAGUAGAACUUCCUAUGUGCCGCGGGGAUACCUGGUCUGAGUAAACUGCAUUGGUAACGCUUAUAUGGGCAUGACAAAGAUGGGUGUACGG
RNAcentral lists this signal recognition particle RNA (264 nucleotides) under Clostridium sp. Its description in RNAcentral is "signal recognition particle sRNA large type". It matches the Rfam family "Bacterial large signal recognition particle RNA". Rfam says of the family: The signal recognition particle (SRP) is a universally conserved ribonucleoprotein involved in the co-translational targeting of proteins to membranes. Archaeal SRP consists of a 7S RNA and homologues of the eukaryotic SRP19 and SRP54 proteins. In most bacteria, the SRP consists of a 4.5S RNA and the Ffh protein (a homologue of the eukaryotic SRP54 protein). The record is from RNAcentral. Lineage: Bacteria; Bacillati; Bacillota; Clostridia; Eubacteriales; Clostridiaceae.